UACGUAGGGUGCGAGCGUUGUCCGGAAUUAUUGGGCGUAAAGAGCUCGUAGGCGGUCUGUCGCGUCUGCUGUGAAAACCCGAGGCUCAACCUCGGGCCUGCAGUGGGUACGGGCAGACUAGAGUGCGGUAGGGGAGAAUGGAACUCCUGGUGUAGCGGUGGAAUGCGCAGAUAUCAGGAAGAACACCGAUGGCGAAGGCGGGUCUCUGGGCAGUAACUGACGCUGAGGAGCGAAAGCGUGGGGAGCGAACAGG
This 253-nucleotide ribosomal RNA is filed under the name uncultured bacterium. Its description in RNAcentral is "partial 16S ribosomal RNA". It matches the Rfam family "Bacterial small subunit ribosomal RNA", at positions 524 to 776 of the family's 1533-position model. The record is from RNAcentral.